CUGACUGCUAUCGGAUUGAUACUAAGCCAUGCGAGUCAUUGUAGUAAUACAAGGCAGACGGCUCAGUAACGCGUAGUCAACCUACCCUAUGGACGGGAAUAACCUCGGGAAACUGAGUAUAAUGCCCGAUGGAACACUAUACCUGGAAUGGUUUGUGUUCCAAAUGAUUUAUCGCCGUAGGAUGGGACUGCGGCCUAUCAGUUUGUUGGUGAGGUAAUGGCCCACCAAGACUAUUACAGGUACGGGCUCUGAGAGGAGUAGCCCGGAGAUGGGUACUGAGACACGGACCCAGGCCCUAUGGGGCGCAGCAGGCGAGAAAACUUUGCAAUGUGCGAAAGCACGACAAGGUUAAUCCGAGUGGUUUGUGCUAAACGAACCUUUUGACAGUCCUAGAAACACUGUUGAAUAAGGGGUGGGCAAGUUCUGGUGUCAGCCGCCGCGGUAAAACCAGCACCUCAAGUGGUCAGGAUGAUUAUUGGGCCUAAAGCAUCCGUAGCCGGCUCCGUAAGUUUUCGGUUAAAUCUGUAUGCUCAACAUACAGGCUGCCGGGAAUACUGCAAAGCUAGGGAGUGGGAGAGGUAGACGGUACUCGGUAGGAAGGGGUAAAAUCCUUUGAUCUAUUGAUGACCACCUGUGGCGAAGGCGGUCUACCAGAACACGUCCGACGGUGAGGGAUGAAAGCUGGGGGAGCAAACCGGAUUAGAUACCCGGGUAGUCCCAGCUGUAAACUAUGCAAACUCAGUGAUGCAUUGGCUUGUGGCCAAUGCAGUGCUGCAGGGAAGCCGUUAAGUUUGCCGCCUGGGAAGUACGUACGCAAGUUUGAAACUUAAAGGAAUGGCGG
RNAcentral lists this ribosomal RNA (841 nucleotides) under uncultured marine archaeon. Its description in RNAcentral is "bacterial SSU rRNA". It matches the Rfam family "Archaeal small subunit ribosomal RNA", at positions 23 to 871 of the family's 1478-position model. The record is from RNAcentral.